GAUGAACGCUGGCGGCGUGCCUAAUACAUGCAAGUCGAGCGAACAGACGAGGAGCUUGCUCCUCUGACGUUAGCGGCGGACGGGUGAGUAACACGUGGAUAACCUACCUAUAAGACUAGGAUAACUUCGGGAAACCGGAGCUAAUACCGGAUAAUAUAUUGAACCGCAUGGUUCAAUAGUGAAAGACGGUUUUGCUGUCACUUAUAGAUGGAUCCGCGCCGCAUUAGCUAGUUGGUAGGGUAACGGCUUACCAAGGCAACGAUGCGUAGCCGACCUGAGAGGGUGAUCGGCCACACUGGAACUGAGACACGGUCCAGACUCCUACGGGAGGCAGCAGUAGGGAAUCUUCCGCAAUGGGCGAAAGCCUGACGGAGCAACGCCGCGUGAGUGAUGAAGGUCUUCGGAUCGUAAAACUCUGUUAUUAGGGAAGAACAAAUGUGUAAGUAACUAUGCACGUCUUGACGGUACCUAAUCAGAAAGCCACGGCUAACUACGUG
This 497-nucleotide ribosomal RNA is filed under the name uncultured bacterium. RNAcentral describes it as "partial 16S ribosomal RNA". It matches the Rfam family "Bacterial small subunit ribosomal RNA", at positions 28 to 507 of the family's 1533-position model. The record is from RNAcentral.